GAUUUUAUGGAUCAAAUUUUUCCGAACAGGAGGAAGCAAUCCGACCCGGUAAGGGUUUUCGAGUUGCAAUCACAACGACGGGAAGCGAAGCGACCUCUUCUCCUCUUCUUUCUUCGCCAUCGCCGCCGCUAGGCGACUGCCCCUCCGCCUCCGGCCACUAGCUUCUGUCCAAGAGAGCUCCUUCCCGGGGAAGACGCGUAUUCCAAGGACGGAGGACUGAUUCAGAUAAAGAAUCACAACUGUUCGAUUUGCUGAUGGAACUGUGCUCGUAUUGUUCGUAACACAAACGGACUAAGAUUUCUGCUUCCCAGCUUUCUGCCAUCUUACAACUGGUUGCAGUCCACACAAUGGGCAGCCUGUAUUUUCUGCAUUGACAUGGCGACGACAUAUAUAGUUAGUCAUUUUCUCAAUUAGGGCUGGAUUCUUGACUGCAAUGGCUUCCUGUCUGACUCAAUUUGGCAAUGUGCUUAGCAAGAAAGUCAUGGUCAAGAAAGAGGUCAUAAAUCUUGACAGAUGAAUAUGAAUGCAACAUAACAUUAGUUUUUUAGUUAAUUUCGAACAUUUCUUGUGGUAAUUCGUUUUUUUAUUACAGCAAUCGUUAGACACAUAAAUCUCUUCUCAAUCUGCAAUAUUAUUUUUGAAGGGAAUGCAAUCUUCUAUAUGCUGUAAGUGUACCUUGGAAAUAUAAUCUUUUAUAGAUUUUGAAUAAGUUUGAUUGGAUGAGAAUAUAGGAAGAAGAGGGGGAGAGAGGAAAAGACUCAUAAAAUUGCUUAAGAAGAUGAAUCAUUUGUGAGUCACUUACCCUUCCUCUCCUAUCUUUCCACCCAGGUAGUACACCCAUCCUUACCAUUAAGUCUGACGUGGAUGGCCACCUUCCAACUUUAGUACGCAACGGAGUGGAGUCUUGUAAUAAGUUUGCAGUGUGCAGUUACUAAUAGAAAUCUAUGAGUUUUUCAUAUCUUCUCCUUAUUUUCUUUAGUUACUGCUUAAAUUCCGCAAGUAAAAAAUCCUGGUAUCAAAGCAUUGGUUAUUAAAGAUAUGGCUGUAGCCUAAGUUAGUUAGGGUCAGGGUAUUCAUGGGGAAAAGGUAAGGGGUAACCGUAUCUAUCUCAUAGAGAAACCCUAACUGGGUCAAAGGCAUUCCCAUCUGCUUGAAACCUCAAAAGUAAAAACUCAUAUUGGCAAAAGGCGAAGGGCAAGUCCAGUGAACCCCGGAGAUGAGCCGAGAAGAGUGAUUAACUAAUGAAGAAUUAAGCAGUAGGGGUAUGUCUGAAACCUGGGAAAGGGCUAUCCAGGAGUGGUAUGAUCAUUCCCGAACCUCAAACCUAGAGUACCUUGACCUUGCCUCCACUACCAAAGUCAGUCUCAACCAUUUAGCUCACAACCUAGCAGUAGUAUACGAUAGAACCUGCCUAUCCUCCUGAGUGAACCUCAAAAAUUUUAAAACCAUCCUAGAAAGGGGUCAAGUUCUUGAAAGAGAAAUUUCCAAGUUAAGGGUUGCUCUGAAGAAUCUUACAACUGUGUUUUUUUUAAAAUAAGCUCUUGACAAAGCAGGAAGUAAGAGAACUUGUGGCAGAAAUUGCUAAACAACCAAAGCUCGUUAAAGAGGAAGCCCUUAAGCUUACUGAAGACCUCAACAAGAAGUUAGAAAGAGCAGAAAAACUCCUCCAUCGAAUUGAAAGGUGGACCACCGCAUGAGCAACUACGUCAUCACAAAAAAUACACAUACCUAUAAAGUGGCGGUUCAAGCAACAGAAUCCAUUGAAUCUCCUGCUAUUGGUUUUGCGAAGCCAAGCGAAUAUCAAGGAGCUUUCUCAGGCAACUCUGCAGUUAUUAAACAAAAUACUACACAACUUUAGCUUUUGAUGCAGAUUGCUAAAACCUUGAAGGACAUCCAGUCUGAUCUAAAGACGGUGGUUGAACAAACUAAGAAAGGAAGCGGCAGCACAACAACAGCUAUUCCAGACUCACUAAUUGAAAAGUUGCGAGGACUAACUCUUGGAGCCCAAGAGAAGCCAAAGGAAGGAAAAGGAAAACUGCGAGUUUACAAAGAUCCCUUCAAAAUCCUCAAGGAAGAACAAGAAAAGCUAAAGGGGUAAUGAUGACCUCAAGACCUUCAAUCUCAGAAAGGACAACACAACGGGAGCAGGCGUUAUUUGAGGAUCAAAUUAGAAGAUAUUAGGGCAAAGAUGCCUAUUUAAUGCAAGAAGAAUGAUGAGAAGAUUCACUGGAGGUCGUUAUAAUCAGACUCUGGAAUAGCAGGUAAAUUUAGAAGCUCAACUUCAGCUUUCCAUGAAGGAAAGGGUAAACCUAGUACCGCCAGAAGUGCUAUACAGAUUCAGAAGAGAUGAUGCAGACCAUAGGGUCUACAUACAUGGAUCGGAGGAAGCCAUAAGUUGUAUAGAUGGCCAGCAGAUAGACAGAAGUGUAAUACAACCAGAAAGUUUUAAGGAACUGCGACAAAGUGGUAUGCAGUUUGUACAUAUUGGCCUUGUGCAGUUAAGGCUGCAAAUACUACACCGACGAGAGGAGGGGACCUUAGCCCUUGUGAUAUUCAGAGGCAAUCGAUGGCAAGGGGACCAAGCUAUUUUUGCCACCAUGGAGGUUGAUUUGGCCACAGGCAGUCAGCUUAUUUAUGUGGUUCCUGAUAUUAUUACCACAAUAAGGGAUUUCUAUCAGAAUAUCCAGAUCUCAAUACAAACAAGGGGCUAUGAUAAUUGGCAAAAUGGAGAGGCCAAUUUAUUAAUUAUAAGGGGAAUUGUAGGGCGACUCUCCAACACACCCAAUGUUGGUUUUGCCUAUCAAGUCUAGCAUGUUGUAGAUUACCUGGCAAGUCGAGGUGUACGAGCUCUCCCUGGGAGAAGAUAUAAUGCUAAUGAGGCACAGGGACACAAUUGGAUUAUCCAGCAACCACAAAUGGUAUUCCCAAGGAUACUUACGGAGGGUUUGGAUCUUAGACAGAUCGAUAUACCUGAGAUCUCUUCUUGCUGCAUUGUGCUUUAUGAAUUAUAAAUCUGUCAUACAUGAUACUUGCAAGAGCAACACCCAUAUCAGCAGGCGUAUAUGGUUAUAAACUUUGUGAAGCGGGUCGUGGUCAUUGUCAGUUCAAUACUCUUGUUCAUGACUCAGUUUCCACCCAUGAACUCCCUUGGUACUGGCCAUUGCACCAGCAGGAUUUGUCUUCUACUCGAGCAAAAAGAAUCAAGUUAAAGAUUGUGUAGUUUUUUUUAUUUUUUAUUUUUUAUUUUUGUACGUCUUUGAGGAAAUUCUAACUCAUUCUAGAGAGUAUUCAUUUUUGUGCUCGUGAUGUUUGGAUGGGUUUGGGAUGAGAGCAAUUGUUUGCCUCUUUUAUAUCUGGAGGUUGAAUCUAACUGGGGCUCUUUUAGGAUCCUUUUAUUAGGGAUCGAACCACAGUAAAUCUAUUAUACGCUGUCUUAUAUUACAGUCUGUAAGAGAUUGCUUUUGCAAAAUGAACCCUGAUCUCAGGAUCACAUGGCAGCAAAA
Long non-coding RNA from Zingiber officinale, 3503 nucleotides. RefSeq lists it as uncharacterized. Lineage: Eukaryota; Viridiplantae; Streptophyta; Magnoliopsida; Zingiberales; Zingiberaceae. The transcript is spliced from 5 exons. The record is from RefSeq and is a predicted model, not a curated record.